AAUGAAGUGCCUGAUAAAAGGAUUAUCUUGAUAGGGUAAAUAAUGUAAUAUGACAAUUACCUUCAUUA
RNAcentral lists this transfer RNA (68 nucleotides) under Hemisquilla californiensis. RNAcentral's name for it is "tRNA-Ile". The record is from RNAcentral. Lineage: Eukaryota; Metazoa; Arthropoda; Malacostraca; Stomatopoda; Hemisquillidae.